RNAcentral lists this ribosomal RNA (338 nucleotides) under uncultured bacterium. RNAcentral's name for it is "bacterial SSU rRNA". It matches the Rfam family "Bacterial small subunit ribosomal RNA", at positions 28 to 359 of the family's 1533-position model. The record is from RNAcentral.
AACGAACGCUGGCGGCGCGUCUUAAGCAUGCAAGUCGGACGGUAAGGAAGGAGCUUGCUUCUUCCCUAGAGUGGCGGACUGGUGAGGAACGCGUGGGUGACGCACCCUCCGGACGGGGAUAGCCGGUAGAAAUACCGGGUAAUACCGGAUAAGAGCGCCUCCUUGGAGGGAGGCGGAGAAAGCGGCUUCGGCCGCGCCGGAGGAACGGCCCGCGUGCUAUUAGCUAGUUGGCGGGGUAACGGCCCACCAAGGCGACGAUGUCUAGGGGUUCUGAGAGGAAGGUCCCCCACACUGGAACUGAGACACGGUCCAGACUCCUACGGGAGGCAGCAGUGAGG